GACGAACGCUGGCGGCGUGCUUAACACAUGCAAGUCGAACGGAAAGGCCCCUUUGGGGGUACUCGAGUGGCGCACGGGUGAGUAACACGUGAGUAACCUGCCCUUGACUUCGGGAUAACUUCAGGAAACUGGGGCUAAUACCGGAUAGGAAUCCUUGCUGCAUGGUGGGGGUUGGAAAGCUUCGGCGGUUUUGGAUGGACUCGCGGCUUAUCAGCUUGUUGGUGGGGUAGUGGCUUACCAAGGCUUUGACGGGUAGCCGGCCUGAGAGGGCGACCGGCCACAUUGGGACUGAGAUGCGGCCCAGACUCCUACGGGAGGCAGCAGUGGGGAAUCUUGCACAAUGGGCGGCAGCCUGAUGCAGCAACGCCGCGUGCGGGAUGACGGCCUUCGGGUUGUAAACCGCUUUCAGCAGGGGCGAAGCUUGUGGUGACGGUACCUGCAGAAGAAGCACCGGCUAACUACGUG
RNAcentral lists this ribosomal RNA (465 nucleotides) under uncultured bacterium. Its description in RNAcentral is "partial 16S ribosomal RNA". It matches the Rfam family "Bacterial small subunit ribosomal RNA", at positions 28 to 507 of the family's 1533-position model. The record is from RNAcentral.